RNAcentral lists this ribosomal RNA (253 nucleotides) under uncultured bacterium. Its description in RNAcentral is "partial 16S ribosomal RNA". It matches the Rfam family "Bacterial small subunit ribosomal RNA", at positions 524 to 776 of the family's 1533-position model. The record is from RNAcentral.
UACGGAGGGUGCAAGCGUUAUCCGGAUUCACUGGGUUUAAAGGGUGCGUAGGCGGACAGGUAAGUCAGUGGUGAAAUCUCUGGGCUUAACUCAGAAACUGCCGUUGAUACUAUUUGUCUUGAAUGUCAUGGAGGUAAGCGGAAUAUGUCAUGUAGCGGUGAAAUGCUUAGAUAUGACAUAGAACACCGAUAGCGAAGGCAGCUUACUACAUGAAGAUUGACGCUGAGGCACGAAAGCGUGGGGAGCAAACAGG